GUCUAUGGCCAUGCCACUCUGAACGAGCCCAGUGUCUGAUCUUGGCAGCUAAGCAGGGAAGCUAAGCAGGGCCUGGCCUGGUUAAUACUUGGAAGGGAGACCACCUAGGAAGACCAGGUGCUGUAGGCA
Molecule: ribosomal RNA, 129 nt
Organism: Pteropus vampyrus (large flying fox)
Lineage: Eukaryota; Metazoa; Chordata; Mammalia; Chiroptera; Pteropodidae
Source: Ensembl